UCUCCGUUGGUGGACCAGCGGAGGGAUCAUUACCGAGUUUACAACUCCCAAACCCAAUGUGAACCAUACCAAACUGUUGCCUCGGCGGGGUCACGCCCCGGGUGUGUCGCAGCCCCGGAACCAGGCGCCCGCCGGAGGGACCAACCAAACUCUUUCUGUAGUCCCCUCGCGGACGUUAUUUUUACAGCUCUGAGCAAAAAUUCAAAAUGAAUCAAAACUUUUAACAACGGAUCUCUUGGUUCUG
Molecule: unclassified non-coding RNA, 244 nt
Filed under: plant metagenome
Description: partial contains small subunit ribosomal RNA, internal transcribed spacer 1, and 5.8S ribosomal RNA
Source: RNAcentral